CCUACGGGUGGCACCAGUGGGGAAUAUUGCACAAUGGGCGCAAGCCUGAUGCAGCCAUGCCGCGUGUAUGAAGAAGGCCUUCGGGUUGUAAAGUACUUUCAGCGGGGAGGAAGGUGUUGUGGUUAAUAACCACAGCAAUUGACGUUACCCGCAGAAGAAGCACCGGCUAACUCCGUGCCAGCAGCCGCGGUAAUACGGAGGGUGCAAGCGUCAAUCGGAAUUACUGGGCGUAAAGCACACGCAGGCGGUCUGUCAGGUCGGAUGUGAAAUCCCCGGGCUCAACCUGGGAACUGCAUUCGAAACUGGCAGGCUAGAGUCUUGUAGAGGGGGGUAGAUUUCCAGGUGUAGCGGUGAAAUGCGUAGAGAUCUGGAGGAAUACCGGUGGCGAAGGCGGCCCCCUGGACAAAGACUGACGCUCAGGUGCGAAAGCGUGGGGAGCAAACAGGAUUAGAUACCCCCGUAGUC
Molecule: ribosomal RNA, 465 nt
Filed under: uncultured bacterium
Lineage: Bacteria
Description: bacterial SSU rRNA
Rfam family: Bacterial small subunit ribosomal RNA
Source: RNAcentral